UAGUUAGAGUAAUACCUCAAGGCCGGUAAAUUUCGUGCCAGCCACCGCGGUUAUACGAAAGACCCAAAAUAGUGAUUCCCGGCGUAAAGCGUGGCUAGACUUGAUUAUAAUAAGGACAAACCUUUUCUUCGCUGUAAAACGCCUAAGAAGAGAUGAAUAACAACCCUUAAAUUAUUAACUCCACGAAAGCUAAGACACAAACUGGGAUUAGAUACCCCACUAUGCUUAGCUAUAAACUUAGAUAAUAUAGYACCACUUAUCCGCCAGAGAACUACAAGCAAACACUUAAAACUCAAAGGACUUGGCGGCAUUUCAUAUCAACCUAGAGGAGCCCGUCCAAUAAUCGAUAAUACACGUUCAACCCUACCAUUUUUGGCACCUCCAGCCUAUAUACCGCCGUCGCCAGCUAACCUUAUGAAAGAACAAUAGUAAGCAAAAUAGCCUACACUAAAACGUCAGGUCAAGGUGUAGCUUAUAAAAUGGAUGUGAUAGGCUACAUUUUCUAUUUUAGAAAACACGGAUUAGUACAAUGAAACCUGUAUAAGAAGGCGAAUUUAGAAGUAAAUUAAGACAGGACCCUUACUUUAACACUGGCCUGAAAUGCGCACACACGGCCGUC
This 619-nucleotide ribosomal RNA is filed under the name Chamaesaura tenuior (Cape snake lizard). Its description in RNAcentral is "partial 12S ribosomal RNA". It matches the Rfam family "Bacterial small subunit ribosomal RNA", at positions 467 to 1398 of the family's 1533-position model. The record is from RNAcentral. Lineage: Eukaryota; Metazoa; Chordata; Lepidosauria; Squamata; Cordylidae.